Molecule: ribosomal RNA, 468 nt
Filed under: uncultured bacterium
Lineage: Bacteria
Description: partial 16S ribosomal RNA
Rfam family: Bacterial small subunit ribosomal RNA
Source: RNAcentral
GACGAACGCUGGCGGCGUGCUUAACACAUGCAAGUCGAACGGAAAGGCCCUGCUUUUGUGGGGUGCUCGAGUGGCGAACGGGUGAGUAACACGUGAGUAACCUGCCCUUGACUUUGGGAUAACUUCAGGAAACUGGGGCUAAUACCGGAUAGGAGCUCCUGCUGCAUGGCGGGGGUUGGAAAGUUUCGGCGGUUGGGGAUGGACUCGCGGCUUAUCAGCUUGUUGGUGGGGUAGUGGCUUGCCAAGGCUUUGACGGGUAGCCGGCCUGAGAGGGUGACCGGCCACAUUGGGACUGAGAUACGGCCCAGACUCCUACGGGAGGCAGCAGUGGGGAAUAUUGCACAAUGGGCGGAAGCCUGAUGCAGCAACGCCGCGUGCGGGAUGACGGCCUUCGGGUUGUAAACCGCUUUCGCCUGUGACGAAGCGUGAGUGACGGUAAUGGGUAAAGAAGCACCGGCUAACUACGUG